CACAGUCAUUCUUAAUCUCAUGUUGCUUCAGACACACCACUGCUCCAGGCCAGCAAGAAUGUUUUUCUGGUUUAGGGUGAAGCCACUCAUUUAUGGUCUGCAGCCAAACCUGCAAAAUCUCCAAGGUCUGCCAGUAUUAGCAAAGGGAACAAUUCUCUCCAAAAAUGCACCAUAAACAAGUUAGAUGCAGCUCAGGAAUGCGACAAUAUUUUAAUAUAAGAAAAUGGUUUAUAAAGAUAUGUGACCCUCCCAACCUGGGAACUUGUAAAAUAACGAUCACCGCUGCACAGAUGAUACCUGGCCUCAGAAUGGUGUUGUCCAGCACUGGGAUUUCCUUCAAAAGUAUUGGUUUACCAGUGCAGGACUCAGAAAGACUACAGUGUGACUUUUUAGUACAAGAAGUUUCAUCUAGUCUGAAGGCCUAAGGUAGAAAUAAUCAGAAAUCACCAAGGAAGACUUUUGCUGUCAUCAUUUACAGUGCACUGUUACAGACUCUUAUCAACAUAUUGUCCCUUUCUGCUUUUACUCUCUUGGUAGAAAAUGCCUGCAAUCAUUUGAAAUAUAGGAAUUUCCCAGCAUACAUGACUUGGCUUUUACACACAGGCAUACACUGAUAAAGAAGAGUCUUAUAUCCACAGUCCUGUUCCAUAGUCUCAAGAUAACAAGGGUUUUGUAGUUGUUUUGAAUCUUUAACCAAGAGUAUUUGAGGAGGAAACGACCCAGAAGUAUGCCUUUACAUUCAGCAUUAAAAAAAUCACAAGGCACUGGUGCCCUGAGGUAUCUACACCACUUUCUUUCUGAAGCAUUUUAAGAGAGAGAACAAAAAUGAACCUGACAUCCAGGUUAUAAGUGAUAAUGCAUUCUCACCAGGAAUAUAAUUUACGGUAUUUGGUUCACUAACACAUACCCCUUACCACUCUUUUUAACCAGCGAAUUCAGUGAUUCCGUGUAUAACUGGAAAUUUCUGACUAUUAUCACUUUCAGGGUAGUUCAUUUUAACUAUUUACAUUGUGAAGGGCAAAUUCUUUUAUGAUACAUUACUCUUCUUUGGAUAGGUUCACAUUACCCAAGGGUGGUCUUAGCUUCAAAAAGGAUAAAAAGUUCAAUUUGUUAAAAUAUCAAAUAUAUUUAAAUACAUGAA
Acinonyx jubatus (cheetah) is the source of this 1141-nucleotide long non-coding RNA. RefSeq lists it as uncharacterized. The transcript has 3 exons. The record is from RefSeq and is a predicted model, not a curated record. NCBI's taxonomy places the organism in Eukaryota, Metazoa, Chordata, Mammalia, Carnivora, Felidae.